UUCCGGUUGAUCCUGCCGGAGGCCAUUGCUAUCGGGGUCCGAUUUAGCCAUGCUAGUCGCACGGGUUCAGACCCGUGGCGAAAAGCUCAGUAACACGUGGCCGAACUACCCUACGGAUCGGAACAACCUCGGGAAACUGAGGCUAAUUCCGAAUAGCGCUCCCACGCUUGAAUGCCGGGAGCGCCAAACGCUCCGGCGCCGUAGGAUGUGGCUGCGGCCGAUUAGGUAGACGGUGGGGUAACGGCCCACCGUGCCGAUAAUCGGUACGGGUUGUGAGAGCAAGAGCCCGGAGAUGGAUUCUGAGACAAGAAUCCAGGCCCUACGGGGCGCAGCAGGCGCGAAACCUUUACACUGUGCGAGAGCGCGAUAAGGGGACCCCGAGUGCGAGGGCAUACAGUCCUCGCUUUUGUACACCGUAAAGUGGUGUACGAAUAAGAGCUGGGCAAGACCGGUGCCAGCCGCCGCGGUAAUACCGGCAGCUCGAGUGAUGGCCAAUAUUAUUGGGCCUAAAGCGUCCGUAGCCGGCCGAACAAGUCCGUCGGGAAAUCCAGCGGCCUAACCGCUGGGCGUCCGGCGGAAACUGUCCGGCUUGGGACCGGAAGACCCGAGGGGUACGUCCGGGGUAGGAGUGAAAUCCUGUAAUCCUGGACGGACCGCCGGUGGCGAAAGCGCCUCGGGAAGACGGAUCCGACGGUGAGGGACGAAAGCUAGGGUCUCGAACCGGAUUAGAUACCCGGGUAGUCCUAGCCGUAAACGAUGCCCGCUAGGUGUGGCGCAGGCUACGAGCUUGCGCUGUGCCGUAGGGAAGCCGUGAAGCGGGCCGCCUGGGAAGUACGUCCGCAAGGAUGAAACUUAAAGGAAUUGGCGGGGGAGCACUACAACCGGAGGAGCCUGCGGUUUAAUUGGACUCAACGCCGGU
This 919-nucleotide ribosomal RNA is filed under the name uncultured archaeon. Its description in RNAcentral is "bacterial SSU rRNA". It matches the Rfam family "Archaeal small subunit ribosomal RNA", at positions 1 to 922 of the family's 1478-position model. The record is from RNAcentral.